RNAcentral lists this ribosomal RNA (292 nucleotides) under uncultured prokaryote. RNAcentral describes it as "partial 16S ribosomal RNA". It matches the Rfam family "Bacterial small subunit ribosomal RNA", at positions 505 to 796 of the family's 1533-position model. The record is from RNAcentral.
GUGCCAGCAGCCGCGGUAAUACGUAGGGUGCAAGCGUUGUCCGGAAUUAUUGGGCGUAAAGAGCUCGUAGGCGGUUUGUCACGUCUGCUGUGAAAUUUCGAGGCUCAACCUCGAACUUGCAGUGGGUACGGGCAGACUAGAGUGCGGUAGGGGAGAUGGGAAUUCCUGGUGUAGCGGUGGAAUGCGCAGAUAUCAGGAGGAACACCAAUGGCGAAGGCACAUCUCUGGGCCGUAACUGACGCUGAGGAGCGAAAGCGUGGGGAGCAAACAGGAUUAGAAACCCCUGUAGUCC